UUUUUUUUUUUUUUUUUUUUAUGUCCCCCAAGCUGUGUUUAUCUUUGGGAUUCUAGCACAGCACAUUCAGAUUACUAAAACAAACUAUCUCUGGCAACCAAGGAAGGAUUGGAUUCCUUGUACUGGAAAUAAUGGCCAGGGUUUCAAAGAAAAAGGGAAGGAAAGUUCCAGAGGAAAGGAAGAUAAAAACUGGGUUGAUGAGAGUCUGCCUUGUGGGUGGGUGAUGGUUCCUGAGUCAACAAACUGGCCAAACUUUCAGGGCUAGUAGAAAAAGCUAUAGAGGCUAUCUGCUGACUCACAACAGCAGAGAAUGUUGGCCAGCUUGGGACACAGGUCCGAGUGACAGAACAAGGCCCUUACUCAAAAAUGAAAUCUGAAGGACACAUGCUAUAGGGUUGGCUAAGCAGGGCAACGGUCAUUUUCUUAGGACUAGAGCACACUUGGGAGUGUUCAUGUCCAAGAGCCUUUGCUUCCAUCGGCUCCAAGGCCUUCCCUGCCUUCCCUUCCAUCAAUCUCUUCCUCCAACUUCAAAAUCCUACUGCACCAUCGCCCAGUCAAGACGACAAGAUCUACACCUUAGAAUUCUUCCUUCAGAUUGGGAAUUGUGAAGAGACAUUGGGGCUAGCCCUUUGCACACCUUCCAGGCAUUCUUGAGACACAACUGCUCCUGGCACACCAAUUACAUUAGAAAGGAGGAUGGGCAUUGAAGAAACUCAACAUGGAGUUUGCCUUCAACAUGGUAAAGCAGAAAAUCACCAAUCCUCCACAUCUGUUUGCCUCAUCUGGAAGAGCCUUCCAGUCUCCGCAACAGAAGGCUCAUGCAAACUGGCCAAUAAAAUUCCUGAAAUUAUCAAGACAUGUGAUACUUGGGCAAAGAUUAAGAUAAGAUUUUCAUGGUUAAAUUCCUUCCACAUACACACACACAUUCUCUCAGAACACCACCGGUUACAGCCAAAAAUUUCAGGUAAAUCAGAAAAUGCCACACAGAGAGGGAUUGCAGUGAUUUAUUCCAUAAACAGCCAGUUGCUACACUGGAAUCCCUGACUCACUCAGCUUUGGGAUAGAAGUCUGGGCUCCCAUUUGCAUUCAUUUAAGUUGGAAUUAGCUGUUGGCCAGCCUGCCAGAGAGCACCCUACAUUGAACCCACAGCCCCCAAGCUUUCUGUAGAGCCCAAAGCAACAGAGUCACUGUAGAAAUGUAUUAUUCUUUCAGUUCCAUAAUUGUCAUGAUGGGUGAAAACCUGCUCUGUAAACCUAGAGACUGUAUACCAAAGACUCUGUGUGUGCUGGCAGGGUCCUCAUGUGUUAGCAGGGGAGUCAGAGUCCCUUCUGAAGAUUCUUAGCCACGUUAAUGAAGAAAUUAAAUCUGGAGAACAAUUUUGAUGGAGGUAAAAAGCAAGCAAAACAAAAAAAAUAAAAAAAAGAGAAACAAAAACAAAAAAAACAAAAACAACUCCUGGGCAGGUGCUGUACAUCCCAGUAGCUGCCCAGAGAAGAAAGAUGGAGCAGAGAAAAGGAGAGAAAAUCUAUGCCGUUUGAGUUAAGUCAACACGGAGGUCAGUUAUGCGGUGGACAAACAGCCACAUGGUAGGCAGGGGAGCUAUAGAGAAAAGAAGGAAGCUGAAAGUAACAACAAAAAACAAACAGGCAUACUUAGAUUCUAGUCAGCAUCUAAAAGAUAGAAAAGAAGAAAAAAAUGAAAAAAAGAAGUUGUAUCUUCUUAAAUCGGGACGAACAACACUUAAGCGAUCUGACAGAGCCUCACGGCGGGCCUGGAGCAGAUGCACAGAGAGUGGGAAUUCUGAGAAGGAAAAGUAUGCUCAUCUCACUGAAGAGACAAUCGGUCCUUUUAUCCACUUCAGCUUUACUUGAGAUGGACCUACCUUCCUGAGGGGUGCUCCAUUGGCCAGCUGAUUACUGGAAUGGAUUAGCUCAGACAACACAUAUCUCCACCCAGAGGUAGAUUUCAUUCCUUACUUUGACAGCCGUCGACGGAGCAAUCUAAAUGCUGGCAGCCGAGCUAAGAACUUUGUGCAUACCAUUGCCCCACUGCCACGUAAGCCGCUUCCCAUUGUCUGAUCUGCUUUCAAUGUAGGAUUUGCAGCAGAAGGUUUAAGGGCUUCGCUGCUGUGCUUUGCAACAUUUCUACAAAGCCCUUUCUGAGAACAUGUCUGCAGUGAACGCUCUACCUCAGUUCAGCUAGCCUCAAGGAGCAGUUUUGCAAGAUGGCUGGCUGACUCUGGGUGGAGUAGUUGCUUCCAAGCCAGUGUGAGUUUAUUGGCUCACUUGGGAAUGGAUCUGAAUCUUGGACUCAUUAGCAUAAUGCUUUAAGGAAACAAAUGGGAAAGCCAUAGUCAUUGUUAUAAAUAAUCUCCCUAAUUAUCCAAAGCCGCAUGCUAGGAAGAAAAUGGAUAGUUAAUUAAAAGCAGAAAAUGUCUCCUCCUUAUGGUAUAUGGAAUGAAACUAUUUAGCUGUAUUUUCCUUUUCUUUCUCCUCUGGAACUAUAUGUUUUCCAGUCUUGCUAAAUAGUCUAGAUUCUCAAAAUUCAUAUUAUUUUGCUUUCCAAUGACUCUAAUCCAUUUAAAUGCCAGAACUUUGUUGUGAAAUCAACACGAAAGAGCAAGAGGAAGCUCUCUGUGUUGCACAGAUGUUGUGUUCUCCUCAGACAAUUUCUCACAGACCCUUCAGCAGCAAGUCCUCCCAGCACCAGGUCAAAGGACUCGAUUAAACAUGCAGCUUCUACAUAAGGUGCUGAUGGCUUCUCCUUGCUGAGAAGAAAACAACAGGACCACCGGAAUUAGAGCUUGUUACAGCCCAACCACUCCUGCUUCAUACUAAAGAACGCAGCAAUGGCUGCUUGGCAGAAUUAUUCUCUCAGGCAACUGGUGCCCAUCAGAAGAUUGAAAGUAGGAGUUGACACUGGGGAAACAGAACUCCUUUUGUGUCCUGAGCCUGCAUUAUUUUACUGCCCAGGGAAGGACAACAGAGACCCCUGUGCACUUUGCUUGGUUGUAACUAAAUUUCUAGUCUUUUGCUUUUUCCAUUGAUGGCCUAUGUGUCUAGCCAUGGAGCAUACAGUUACAAAACUUCUUUUUGCUGCUAUUGGCUGAAAAGUCUUCACUUUAAUAACUAUCAGGUCCUAUUUCUAUGCUUCAUUUAGUCCAACAAUGUCUUCCUCCUGGCAUUCUUUUAUACUUAGUUUUCAUAAGUAAUAAGAUUGUGAUUUAAAAUCUUUAUAAAAGUACAGGGAAGGGGUUUAGAGAUUAAGUGGUUGAAAGCAACACUGCAUAUACUUCAGCUUCAUCAGAGCAAGAGGAAAUUGCUCAUUCCUCCCAGCUUGUUUUGGUAUUCUACAGCAGGAUACCAAGUGGUUGCUGCCACUUGGAAAUUGGCACUACUACUGAGAAGUGUUUCAAUUGCAGGCAAGAGGUUGUGCAGGUUUUCCCCCUACAUGAGUAUGUGAUUCAGAGUUAGAAAUACAGUCAUUCUAAAGACAAAUUUAGUGCUACAAGGUGACCUCUUGUUGCAUCAGUUUUCUGCUUCCAGACAGAGGUAGAGGCUCACUAAAUAAGGGUUACAUAUGAAAGGCCAUACCCAAAACAUACAUGAAACAGCUUGUUGGUUUAAGACAGGGCCUCAGGGAACCCAGGCUCGUCUGGAGCUCACUAUGUAGCCAAUGAAGAGCUCUCUCCUGAUCUUUCUGUCUCAACUCCCAGAUGCUGGCACUGCAGGUAUGUACACCAUGCCCAUCUUGGAAAACAGCAUUUUUAUGAAAUAAACUUCCCAGUGUUUCUCAUACCAAAUAUAGAUAAGACUUAAACAUGAGCUUUUGUCACAAAAGCUCAGUAUCAGUUUUUAGGAUAGUAUAUGGCUAGGGCAGCCCUCUUAAUGUGGCAAAGUAACAGCACCCAGAUGUUAGUCACUCAGCAUCUCCACUCCAAUAAAUAGAUGUAUGUGAAGUCACACCCUCAACUCUAUGUCAGGGACAGCGUGUGAAAUCACAGGCUUCUAGUUUUCACAUAACCCUGCAAGUGUUUUAUUAUCAGCAUAGUUUUAUUGGUGAGAUUCAACCCAUAAAGAAGAACACAUCCUCCAGGAAACAAUAGAAGAUAAAAUUUAAGAUUGCCCAUAUCACAGGCCAGCUACCCCCAGAAUAAAAUAAGAGGCUAAGAGCCAAGAGCAAAUCCUUUGGGGGGUGCAGGUUCUACAGGGGUAGUAGAAGGAUACGGCAGUCACAUACCACAGAGGAGCAACACACCAAAGAACAUCUUGACUACAGUAGUAGGAAGUGCCCUUUCCUUUUUUACCUCUAGGUCUCGGCUCUAAAGAAUCACUGAUUUUAUUUGUUAAUUUCUGUUAUUCAUUGGGAAGCAAAGUAUCUUAGAGAGCUAAACCAAUCUACUAAAAAUUAAAAGCCACUUGCCAUUUUUUCUCAAGGAGACAAUUUUGUUUCAAAUAUAUAGCUUCUACUCUAUAUUGUACACACUAAGAAUAGAAUGAUGAAGUUUUUAAUGACUAAUACAUAAGAUACAAUGAUUGAAUACUCAUUAAUUAUGGUUUUCAACUAUAUUCCCUUGAUAGUGAUUGUUCCUACAAAAGCAAGAGGACAUAAGAACAGAAAUAAUUUUAAUAUGCUUCCAAAAAGUAGUUUUCACAGCAGAAUGGGUUUGUGUGAGCCCUGGAUAGCACUAAUUUGAGAGCUAAACUAAUUGGAUUAUUAGAUUUGAUUGUCUACUUGUAUACCAUGCUGUCUGACUCUUUAAGACUCUUGUACAGAGAGAUCUACCAUGCACAAACAAGUAUGGGUUAGCAAAAACAAGCCAAAAUUUGAUGUUCAGCUAAGGAUUCUAAUGUUCCGAGGCCUUAUCUAAGGACUCAGUGAGAUUCAUGCUUAUGCUGUGAAUCCUUCUACACAUUUUGGGAAAUAAGAACUAACAGUAACACCUUAAAUAUAAACAUUUUUCACAGUAUUAGUGAACACUGUUUACUCAUCAUCAUGAACCUUAAUAUAUCAUAAACAAUAAAGGCAGGAACAUGUGACCAGAGGGUGACUGGACAGGGCAAUGACCGUAGAGUGAAGAAGUACUUUAUAGGCCAGUGAAGAAACAGGUUUUUAAAGGACAGCACUUUAGAAAAAAAUACCAGGAGAUUUGGUGAUAUAUUGUUUAUGAUCUAAUAAGGCUUGCCUAGAGAUCAGAAUGUAAAACUAGCCACAACCAUAGAGGCCAGGCAGUGGUGGCCACAUCUUUAACCCCAGCACUCCAGAGACAGAAGCAGACAGAUCUCUGUGAGUUUGAGGCCAGACUGGGCUACAUGAGAAUGAAUCAGUCUGAAAGACAAACAGAGCUCACACAUUUAAUCCCGAACUAGAGAGAAUAUAAGGAGCUCAGUCUGAGGUUUUUGGUGGAGAGCAUUGCAGUCUAGGAGUCGGAGGGUUCAUGGAGCCAAGAUUGCCCUUUCAGUCUGAAGUAGAGGUGAAAGCCAGUGCCUAGCUGCUUUGCUUCUCUGAUCUUUCAUCUUGAACCCCAGUGUCUGUCUCUGGGUUUUAUUUUUCAUGCUACAAGGAGAAAUCUUUAUAACACAUUAUUUUUGCCAUGGGUCAGUUUUAUUCAGAGAAUUAUAGACAUGUUAAUGUUUGCAAAAGUGAAAUAUGUCAGUUAAAAAUCACAGAACCUCUGGAAAUUUGUUUUCUGAUAUAACAAGAAAUCAGGAACUAGAUAGUUCGAGAGUUAGCUCAUUUGCAAUACAAUGAAGUUGGUCCCUUGAAGGUUUUUCAGCCUUAAAAGUCAGUGUUCCCCUGAAGAGUUUGAAAACAUCGCAGUGGUUCACAAGCUUCUUGGCAUUUGUACAGAUUUAGUAGAUUUUCAAGAAAUAAACAUAUCUGUAUUUGA
Cricetulus griseus (Chinese hamster) is the source of this 5890-nucleotide non-coding RNA. The record is from RefSeq and is a predicted model, not a curated record. Lineage: Eukaryota; Metazoa; Chordata; Mammalia; Rodentia; Cricetidae.